UACGUAGGGUGCAAGCGUUGUCCGGAAUUAUUGGGCGUAAAGAGCUCGUAGGCGGUCUGUCGCGUCUGCUGUGAAAACCUAGGGCUUAACCCUGGGCCUGCAGUGGGUACGGGCAGACUAGAGUGCGGUAGGGGAGACUGGAAUUCCUGGUGUAGCGGUGAAAUGCGCAGAUAUCAGGAGGAACACCGGUGGCGAAGGCGGGUCUCUGGGCCGUAACUGACGCUGAGGAGCGAAAGCAUGGGGAGCGAACAGG
RNAcentral lists this ribosomal RNA (253 nucleotides) under uncultured bacterium. RNAcentral describes it as "partial 16S ribosomal RNA". It matches the Rfam family "Bacterial small subunit ribosomal RNA", at positions 524 to 776 of the family's 1533-position model. The record is from RNAcentral.